This is a non-coding RNA of Steinernema glaseri, 72 nucleotides long. The record is from Rfam. NCBI's taxonomy places the organism in Eukaryota, Metazoa, Nematoda, Chromadorea, Rhabditida, Steinernematidae.
GGCUGAGUGGUUUAGUGGUAUGAUUCUCGCUUAGGGUGCGAGAGGUCCCGGGAUCAAUCCCCGGCUCAGCCC